RNAcentral lists this long non-coding RNA (1492 nucleotides) under Neodiprion lecontei (redheaded pine sawfly). RNAcentral's name for it is "uncharacterized LOC124295441, transcript variant X2". The record is from RNAcentral. Lineage: Eukaryota; Metazoa; Arthropoda; Insecta; Hymenoptera; Diprionidae.
AGGUCCAUGCAUCUGACCAUGGAGCCUACAGUAAAGGAGCCCGAACGCCUGCAGGAAAAGUAUUAUAAACGUGGACCCUGAAAGUGAGGAAAGGUUGGGUUCGAAAUGCAGCCACGGGAAGCGCUAGUGCUUCAAAGAGAGGAGAUGGGUUUGCAUUUACACGACAUUCUUGGCUUUUCGUCUUUGCGCGUAUAAACGGGUUUUCUAAAGAUUUUUUUGAUAAAAAUCAGCAUCGUAAGGUGUAGUGACUGAUUGCCCUACAUUAAAUCUAAGCAGUUCAUUUCUGGUAGCAGAGUGCACAAUGGAGAAAUAUCGUUCUUACCCAGGCUACCGAACUGGGCGAGAUGCCAGCAGAGCAAACUGCAAGCGCUUAGGACGACGGCAGCUGUCUGUCUUCAAGGUGCCAAAGAAUAUGCAACAGCGAUGGAGCAAAUUCCUUGGACAGUGUCUCUCUCACACUGAUUUUCUGUGCGAACUUCACUUUUCCAAUGACUAAGAUGGGCGAGUUUCUUAUCGAUCAGCGGUGGUCGAACGGGAUGUUUUCGAGAGCAUGUCGCAGUUGUUUGAAAGCUUAACUGAUCGGAAUGUCGUCUCGAGCAGUAUACCGAGUGUAUGGAAAUCGACUAAUCAUCUGUACAUUCUGUGAUGCAACCAAUUGGUCCAGAUGGACCUUCGGACGCUUUUUGACACCUAAUAUCACUUACAACUCGGAACGGAAAAUUCGUGCCCUCGAUUGUUAUUUCCAAAGUCGAUAUUCGAAAAAAACGUCGUCCAUACGAGGACAAGACGAAAUUCGAGCCCGGAAGCGAGUGGAUCGAAGACAUCAUUAGACAAUACACUUGGAGUCAGAAAGCCGCUUUUCAAUUAGAACAUAUCAUUGAUUGAAUUGGGUUUCAUAGAUUUUCAUAGAAAAACAAAAUGUAAAAAAAAUAUAGUAGCCUCUACUAAUGUGAGUGAACGACAUACAAAAUUUCGAGUCGAAUCGAAAAGGGUGAGAGUCGGAGCCUGGUCGAAUUUGGGUGGAAUGCUCCAUAUAAGUUAUUCACCGAGGAAACAUUAGUUUCAUCGUGUCGGCUAGAAGAACAUUUGAGUUCGUCGGGCCAUCCGGAGUUGGACAAUUUAUGAUAAUGCGGUAAUUGUCGAGGGUCUGCGAUGAAAAUUUCGCUCUCGGAUGACCUUCGAGUUAGGUAAAAAUCGAUUUAUUUCCACACGUAGUUUAUCGCAUUAUUAAUAUUAUUUAUUGUUAAAAAAUGUUUGUUUUACUGACUGAAAAUGUCUAUGUUUCUUAUCUAUACGAAAAAACAUAUUCCUAUUGUGCACUAAAUAAUAAAUAUUCGCACUUUUUGUUGUUUCUUAAUUCGUUUGGAUUUGACGCGUUUUAUCAAUAAAUAUUUCUAGAGCGUAGGUCAACUCGACUUUGAAUUAUGCCCAAAAAUAUUAUCUAGUUAACGGCCACGAAAAAAUCUUGGACUCGACGAAACAGACGCCAAAA